RNAcentral lists this transfer RNA (71 nucleotides) under Bacteroides sp. RNAcentral's name for it is "tRNA-OTHER". It matches the Rfam family "tRNA". Rfam says of the family: Transfer RNA (tRNA) molecules are approximately 80 nucleotides in length. Their secondary structure includes four short double-helical elements and three loops (D, anti-codon, and T loops). The record is from RNAcentral. RNAcentral also lists the same sequence under 1 other name. Lineage: Bacteria; Pseudomonadati; Bacteroidota; Bacteroidia; Bacteroidales; Bacteroidaceae.
AACGAUGUAGCUCAGUUGGUAGAGCAAUCUGUAACACAGAUAGGUCGGCGGUUCAAUUCCGCCCAUCGUUC